GACGAACGCUGGCGGCGUGCUUAACACAUGCAAGUCGAACGGAAAGGCCUGCUUUCCCUUGUGGAUUGCGGGUACUCGAGUGGCGAACGGGUGAGUAACACGUGAGUGAUCUGCCCCCAACUUGGGUAUAAGCCUGGGAAACUGGGUCUAAUUCCCGAUAGGACUGCAGGGUGGUGCCUGUGGUGGAAAACGAUUUUCUAGUGGUUGGGGAUGAGCUCGCGGCCUAUCAGCUUGUUGGUGGGGUAAUGGCCUACCAAGGCGGCGACGGGUAGCCGGCCUGACAGGCUGGACGUCCACAGUGGGACUGACAUACGGCCCAGACUCCUACGCGAGGCAGCAGUGGGGAAUAUUGCACAAGGGGCGGAAGCCUGAUGCAGCGACGCCGCGGGGAGGAUGACGGCCUUCGGGUUGUAAACUCCUUUCGACCGCGAGGAAGCCACCUGGUUGGAAGGGUGGUGACGGUAGUGGUAGAAGAAGCACCGGCUAACUACGUG
RNAcentral lists this ribosomal RNA (494 nucleotides) under uncultured bacterium. RNAcentral describes it as "partial 16S ribosomal RNA". It matches the Rfam family "Bacterial small subunit ribosomal RNA", at positions 28 to 507 of the family's 1533-position model. The record is from RNAcentral.